Non-coding RNA from Ilex paraguariensis (yerba mate), 74 nucleotides. The record is from the annotation of a GenBank genome assembly. NCBI's taxonomy places the organism in Eukaryota, Viridiplantae, Streptophyta, Magnoliopsida, Aquifoliales, Aquifoliaceae.
GUUCAAGUAACUCAAUUGGUAAGAGUAACGGAUUGAAAAUCCUUGUGUUAGUGGUUUGAAUCCACUUCUUAGCA